This 460-nucleotide ribosomal RNA is filed under the name uncultured bacterium. RNAcentral's name for it is "partial 16S ribosomal RNA". It matches the Rfam family "Bacterial small subunit ribosomal RNA", at positions 338 to 795 of the family's 1533-position model. The record is from RNAcentral.
CCUACGGGUGGCAGCAGUGAGGAAUAUUGGUCAAUGGGCGCGAGCCUGAACCAGCCAAGUCGCGUGAGGGAAGACGGCCCUACGGGUUGUAAACCUCUUUUGCCGGGGAGCAACGGGCGCCACGUGUGGCGCCACUGAGAGUACCCGAAGAAAAAGCAUCGGCAAACUCCGUGCCAGCAGCCGCGGUAAUACGGGGGAUGCGAGCGUUAUCCGGAUUUAUUGGGUGUAAAGGGUGCGUAGGCGGAGCGUUAAGUCAGUGGUCAAAUUGAGGGGCUCAACCCCUUCCCGCCAUUGAGACUGGAGCGCUUGAGUGGAAGAGAAGUAUGCGGAAUGCGUGGUGUAGCGGUGAAAUGCAUAGAUAUCACGCAGAACCCCGAUUGCGAAGGCAGCAUGCCGGCUUCCUACUGACGCUGAAGCACGAAAGCGUGGGGAUCGAACAGGAUUAGAUACCCGUGUAGUC